Molecule: ribosomal RNA, 331 nt
Filed under: uncultured eukaryote
Lineage: Eukaryota
Description: partial 18S ribosomal RNA
Rfam family: Eukaryotic small subunit ribosomal RNA
Source: RNAcentral
CCCUUAGAUGUUCUGGGCCGCACGCGCGCUACACUGUUCGACGCAGCGAGUCUUAACCUUGACCGAAAGGUUUGGGUAAUCUUCAGCAAAGUCGAACGUGAUGGGGAUCGAUCAUUGCAAUUAUUGAUCGUGAACGAGGAAUUCCUAGUAAGUGCAAGUCAUCAGCUUGCGCUGAUUACGUCCCUGCCCUUUGUACACACCGCCCGUCGCUACUACCGAUUGAAUGGUUUAGUGAGAUCUCUGGAUUGACGCUGACUAGGGGGCGACCCUUGGCCAGACUGUUGAGAAACUGCUCAAACUUGAUCAUUUAGAGGAAGUAAAAGUCGUAACA